UGCAAGUCGAACGGCAGCACGAGAGCUUGCUCUUGGUGGCGAGUGGCGAACGGGUGAGUAAUAUAUCGGAACGUAUCCAAUAAUGGGGGAUAACUAAUCGAAAGGUUAGCUAAUACCGCAUACGCCCUACGGGGGAAAGCAGGGGAUCUUCGGACCUUGCGUUAAUGGAGCGGCUGAUAUCUGAUUAGCUAGUAGGUGAGGUAAAGGCUCACCUAGGCUUCGAUCAGUAGCUGGUCUGAGAGGACGACCAGCCACACUGGAACUGAGACACGGUCCAGACUCCUACGGGAGGCAGCAGUGGGGAAUUUUGGACAAUGGGCGCAAGCCUGAUCCAGCCAUUCCGCGUGAGUGAAGAAGGCCUUCGGGUUGUAAAGCUCUUUCGCAUGGGAAGAAACGAUACCGACGAAUAAUCGGUGUUAAUGACGGUACCUUGAUAAGAAGCACCGGCUAACUACGUGCCAGCAGCCGCGGUAAUACGUAGGGUGCGAGCGUUAAUCGGAAUUACUGGGCGUAAAGCGUGCGCAGGCGGUUUUGUAAGUCAGAUGUGAAAUCCCCGGGCUCAACCUGGGAACUGCGUUUGAAACUACAAGGCUAGAGUAUGGUAGAGGGGGGUAGAAUUCCACGUGUAGCAGUGAAAUGCGUAGAGAUGUGGAGGAAUACCAAUGGCGAAGGCAGCCCCCUGGACUAAUACUGACGCUCAUGCACGAAAGCGUGGGGAGCAAACAGGAUUGGAUACCCUGGUAGUCCACGCCCUAAACGACGUCUACUAGUUGUUGGGAGAGUAAAAUCUCUUAGUAACGCAGCUAACGCGUGAAGUAGACCGCCUGGGGAGUACGGUCGCAAGAUUAAAACUCAAAGGAAUUGACGGGGGCCCGCACAAGCGGUGGAUUAUGUGGAUUAAUUCGA
This 906-nucleotide ribosomal RNA is filed under the name uncultured Methylophilaceae bacterium. Its description in RNAcentral is "bacterial SSU rRNA". It matches the Rfam family "Bacterial small subunit ribosomal RNA", at positions 56 to 954 of the family's 1533-position model. Lineage: Bacteria; Pseudomonadati; Pseudomonadota; Betaproteobacteria; Nitrosomonadales; Methylophilaceae. The record is from RNAcentral.